GGGCCUGUGGCGCAGUCGGUAGCGCACCUGCUCGGCAGGCAGGAGGUGCCCGGUUCGAAUCCGGGUAGGUCCA
This 73-nucleotide transfer RNA is filed under the name Micromonospora musae. RNAcentral describes it as "Micromonospora sp. MS1-9 tRNA-Ala". It matches the Rfam family "tRNA". Rfam says of the family: Transfer RNA (tRNA) molecules are approximately 80 nucleotides in length. The record is from RNAcentral. Lineage: Bacteria; Bacillati; Actinomycetota; Actinomycetes; Micromonosporales; Micromonosporaceae.